Molecule: transfer RNA, 76 nt
Filed under: Deinococcus aetherius
Lineage: Bacteria; Thermotogati; Deinococcota; Deinococci; Deinococcales; Deinococcaceae
Also listed under: 2 other names
Description: tRNA-Trp
Rfam family: tRNA
About the family: Transfer RNA (tRNA) molecules are approximately 80 nucleotides in length.
Source: RNAcentral
GGGUCCUUAGCUCAGUUGGUAGAGCGGCGGUCUCCAAAACCGUAGGUCGAGGGUUCAAGUCCUUCAGGGCCCGCCA